UUUUUUAUGGAGAGUUUGAUCCUGGCUCAGGACGAACGCUGGCGGCGUGCUUAACACAUGCAAGUCGAACGGAAAGGCCUAGCUUGCUAGGUACUCGAGUGGC
RNAcentral lists this ribosomal RNA (103 nucleotides) under Corynebacterium diphtheriae bv. gravis. RNAcentral describes it as "partial 16S ribosomal RNA". It matches the Rfam family "Bacterial small subunit ribosomal RNA", at positions 1 to 99 of the family's 1533-position model. The record is from RNAcentral. Lineage: Bacteria; Bacillati; Actinomycetota; Actinomycetes; Mycobacteriales; Corynebacteriaceae.